RNAcentral lists this ribosomal RNA (206 nucleotides) under uncultured bacterium. RNAcentral's name for it is "partial 16S ribosomal RNA". It matches the Rfam family "Bacterial small subunit ribosomal RNA", at positions 568 to 774 of the family's 1533-position model. The record is from RNAcentral.
CGCGUAGGCGGUUAAAUAAGUUGGAUGUGAAAUCCCUGGGCUUAACCUAGGAACUGCAUACAAUACUGUUUGACUAGAGUGCAGUAGAGGGUAGUGGAAUUUCCGGUGUAGCGGUGAAAUGCGUAGAUAUCGGAAGGAACACCAGUGGCGAAGGCGGCUACCUGGACUGACACUGACGCUGAGGCGCGAGAGCGUGGGAGCAAACA